RNAcentral lists this ribosomal RNA (349 nucleotides) under uncultured bacterium. Its description in RNAcentral is "bacterial SSU rRNA". It matches the Rfam family "Bacterial small subunit ribosomal RNA", at positions 8 to 350 of the family's 1533-position model. The record is from RNAcentral.
AGAGUUUGAUCCUGGCUCAGGAUGAACGCUAGCUACAGGCUUAACACAUGCAAGUCGAGGGGAAACGACAUCGAAAGCUUGCUUUUGAUGGGCGUCGACCGGCGCACGGGUGAGUAGCGCGUAUCCAACCUGCCCAUCACUUGGGGAUAACCUUGCGAAAGUAAGACUAAUACCCAAUGACGUCUCUAGAAGACAUCUGAAAGAGAUUAAAGAUUUAUCGGUGAUGGAUGGGGAUGCGUCUGAUUAGCUUGUUGGCGGGGUAACGGCCACAAGGCGACGAUCAGUAGGGGUUCUGAGAGGAGGUCCCCANAUUGGAACUGAGACACGGUCCAAACUCCUACGGGAGGCA